RNAcentral lists this ribosomal RNA (254 nucleotides) under uncultured bacterium. RNAcentral's name for it is "partial 16S ribosomal RNA". It matches the Rfam family "Bacterial small subunit ribosomal RNA", at positions 524 to 776 of the family's 1533-position model. The record is from RNAcentral.
UACGAAGGGGGCUAGCGUUGUUCGGAAUUACUGGGCGUAAAGCGCGCGUAGGCGGAUUUGCCAGUCAGGGGUGAAGUGCCAGGGCUUAACCUUGGAACUGCAUUGGUGACUGGCAGGCUUUGAGUGUGGCAGAGGGAGGUAGAAUUCCACGUGUAGCAGUGAAAUGCGCAGAUAUCAGGAGGAACACCAAUUGCGAAGGCAGCUCGCUGGGACGUUACUGACGCUGAGACGCGAAAGCGUGGGGAGCAAACAGG